AAUUCAAACUGUAUAAUUCGAAUUUGUCUUAGAAUUUCGAUUUCAAUCAGCAGUAUUGGGUAUUAUUCGAGAUGAUUCGGCUGAAAAUGGAACUGAAGGGAAGUAAUCAAUCGACUAAUAACGCCCCUGGCUAACAUUUGCUAUCCAUUUGCAAAUCGCCCCACCUGACGGACUGGCCAAGUUGCGCAGCAUGUCCUUUUGCAAUAUCAACGUUAGUGGCAAACAACAAAAUUAGUCAGCAAAACAUGGCCGCCCUGCAAUUAGCAUCAUGAGCACCAUGCAAUUUUGAUGACCAAAUUGCCAUAAACCGGUCACUGACACAUACUCCGCAGUCUGGUCUCCGAAAGUCCGGAGGACACUGUACUCAACGGGGCGAUAAUCAUGGAACACUGCACCGCACGCUGAUGCCAAUCAAAAUUCAAAAUUUCGACAGUCCGUAUAUGGCCGUAUGCGGCGACCACGCCCCCCUUCUGUCUACCCAAACAAAGGGGGCGGGCGCAGCAGAGCGUGGCUACGUCGAUAAGUCACGGACAAAAUGGUCAAAUGUCAGAGGAGCAACGCGGUUGAGAUCAUCGGACCGACCACUGGGGCGGUCUCUACACUGGUAAAAAAGUAUGUCACUAUCUACAAAACAAUCUUUAAUAUAUCUUUAGAAAUUUUGGAAAC
This 666-nucleotide long non-coding RNA is filed under the name Drosophila melanogaster (fruit fly). Its description in RNAcentral is "long non-coding RNA:CR44058 (Dmel_CR44058)". The record is from RNAcentral. Lineage: Eukaryota; Metazoa; Arthropoda; Insecta; Diptera; Drosophilidae.